Molecule: ribosomal RNA, 1245 nt
Filed under: Amolops granulosus (granular torrent frog)
Lineage: Eukaryota; Metazoa; Chordata; Amphibia; Anura; Ranidae
Description: partial 16S ribosomal RNA
Rfam family: Bacterial large subunit ribosomal RNA
Source: RNAcentral
GCCUAAAAUCUAGCCCAUUUAACCCACAUGACCCCCUUAGUCAACUGUCUUAUAACAAAACAUUUUAACAUUUUAGUACAGGUGUACGAAAAAUUUUAAGCGCUUCAGAUAAAGUACCGCAAGGGAAUAAUGAAAUAGAAAUGAAAUAAUCUUAAAGCCCUAAGUAGCAGAGUUUACCCCUCGUACCUUUUGCAUCAUGGUCUAGCAGUCUCCCCAGGCAAAAAGAAACUUUUAGUCUGACUCCCCGAAACUAGGCGAGCUACUUCAAAACACCGAAAGGGGCCAACCCGUCUCUGUUGCAAAAGAGUGGGAAGAUUUUUAAGUAGAGGCGAUAAACCUACCGAGCUUAGAGAUAGCUGGUUGUUCAGGAAAAGAGUCUUAGCUCUACCUUAAAUUUUUUUAUUACAUCAAACAAAAUAUUAAAUUUAAGAGCUAUUCAAAUAAGGCACAGCUUAUUUGAAAUGGGGUACAACCCAAAUAUUGGGUUAAAAAUUGCCUUCUCCUAAAUGUAAGUUUUAACCAAAAUGGACUUUCCAUUGGUAAUUAACGCAAAUGUAAAAAUCAUAACACCACUCGGCCAGAAAACCCUAUGAUUCUUAACGUCGACCUUACACUAGAACAUUUCAGGAAAGACUUAAAAGAGAAAGAAGGAACUCGGCAAAUUACAGUCCCGCCUGUUUACCAAAAACACCGCCUCUUGAAUGAAUAUAAGAGGUCCAGCCUGCCCAGUGACAUAGUUCAACGGCCGCGGUACCCUAACCGUGCAAAGGUAGCAUAAUCACUUGUUCUUUAAAUAGGGACUCGUAUCAACGGCACCACGAGGGCUGUACUGUCUCCUUUCUCCAAUCAGUGAAACUGAUCUCCCCGUGAAGAAGCGGGGAUUAACCUAUAAGACGAGAAGACCCCAUGGAGCUUUAAACCCAGUAUACAUCCCUGCGCACCUAAAUCACGACAGCCAAAGAGACUUGUAUUCUGGUUUUGGUUGGGGGGACCGCGGAGUAAAAGGAAACCUCCACGACAGACGGGCUAACACCCUUAUCCAUGAGCCACAACUCUAAGAGCCAAUAAAUUGUUGUCUAAUGACCCAAUUACUUGAUUAACGAACCAAGUUACCCUGGGGAUAACAGCGCAAUCUACUUCAAGAGCCCCUAUCGACAAGUAGGUUUACGACCUCGAUGUUGGAUCAGGGUAUCCUAGUGGUGCAGCCGCUACUAAAGGUUCGUUUGUUCAACGAUUAAAACCCUA